RNAcentral lists this ribosomal RNA (292 nucleotides) under uncultured bacterium. Its description in RNAcentral is "partial 16S ribosomal RNA". It matches the Rfam family "Bacterial small subunit ribosomal RNA", at positions 505 to 796 of the family's 1533-position model. The record is from RNAcentral.
GUGCCAGCAGCCGCGGUAAGACAGAGGGUGCAAACGUUGCUCGGAAUUACUGGGCGUAAAGCGCGUGUAGGUGGAUUGGUGUGUCAGAUGUGAAAUCCCUGGGCUCAACCCAGGAACUGCACCUGAAACUACCAGUCUUGAGUGGUGGAGAGGGAAGUGGAAUUCCUGGUGUAGAGGUGAAAUUCGUAGAUAUCAGGAGGAACACCAGUGGCGAAGGCGGCUUCCUGGACACCAACUGACGCUGAGACGCGAAAGCGUGGGGAGCAAACAGGAUUAGAUACCCUGGUAGUCC